GUAUGCGUAGCGCAGAGGUUAGCGUGUCUGUCUAUGAAGCUGAAUGUCUGGGUUCGAAUCCUGGCUAGAACA
This is a non-coding RNA of Stomoxys calcitrans (stable fly), 72 nucleotides long. The record is from Rfam. NCBI's taxonomy places the organism in Eukaryota, Metazoa, Arthropoda, Insecta, Diptera, Muscidae.